This 496-nucleotide ribosomal RNA is filed under the name uncultured bacterium. Its description in RNAcentral is "partial 16S ribosomal RNA". It matches the Rfam family "Bacterial small subunit ribosomal RNA", at positions 28 to 506 of the family's 1533-position model. The record is from RNAcentral.
GAUGAACGCUGGCGGCGUGCCUAAUACAUGCAAGUCGAGCGAACAGACGAGGAGCUUGCUCCUCUGACGUUAGCGGCGGACGGGUGAGUAACACGUGGAUAACCUACCUAUAAGACUGGGAUAACUUCGGGAAACCGGAGCUAAUACCGGAUAAUAUAUUGAACCGCAUGGUUCAAUAGUGAAAGACGGUUUUGCUGUCACUUAUAGAUGGAUCCGCGCCGCAUUAGCUAGUUGGUAAGGUAACGGCUUACCAGGGCAACGAUGCGUAGCCGACCUGAGAGGGUGAGCGGCCACACGGGAACGGAGACACGGGCCAAAUCCCUACGGGAGGCAGCAGGAGGGAAUCUUCCGAAAGGGGCGAAAGCCUGACGGAGAAACGCCGGGGGGGUGAUGAAGGUUUGCGGAUCGUAAAACUUUUUUAUUAGGGAAAAAAAAAUGUGAAAGUAAAGAUGAACGUCUGGACGGUACCAAAGCAGAAAGCCACGGCUAACUACGG